This 56-nucleotide transfer RNA is filed under the name Loxodonta africana (African savanna elephant). The record is from Rfam by way of RNAcentral. Lineage: Eukaryota; Metazoa; Chordata; Mammalia; Proboscidea; Elephantidae.
UGGCAAAGUGGUUAUGCCCUUGGCUUCUAGCCAAAAGUUGGUGGUUCGAACCCACU